RNAcentral lists this ribosomal RNA (479 nucleotides) under Allolobophora chlorotica. RNAcentral describes it as "partial 16S ribosomal RNA". It matches the Rfam family "Bacterial large subunit ribosomal RNA", at positions 1817 to 2597 of the family's 2925-position model. RNAcentral also lists the same sequence under 1 other name. Lineage: Eukaryota; Metazoa; Annelida; Clitellata; Crassiclitellata; Lumbricidae. The record is from RNAcentral.
UGCUUCUUGCAGAUAAUAAGAAGUAAUUCCUGCCCAGUGAUAACAUUCAACGGCCGCGGUAUCCUAACCGUGCAAAGGUAGCAUAAUCACUUGCCCAUUAAUUGUGGGCUAGAAUGAACGGACCAACGAAAUAAAAACUGUCUCUAUAAGCCCCGUAAAAAUUAAUCUCUAACUGAAGAGUGUUAGAUUAAAUCGAAGGACAAGAAGACCCUAUAGAGCUUCAUUUUAAUAAAGGCCUAAACUUUAGUAAAAUUCGGUUGGGGCGACCAGGGAAAACUAAUCAUCCCUCAUCAGAAGAUAAAUAAAUCUAAAUACUGACCCUUAAUAAAGAUCACAAGAACAAGCUACCUUAGGGAUAACAGGCUAAUCCUAUUAAAGAGUCCUUAUCAAUAAUAGGGGUUGGCACCUCGAUGUUGGCUUAGGGAAUCUAUGUGGCGCAAAAGUCACAUAAAGAUGGUUUGUUCAACCAAUAAUACCCU